This 148-nucleotide microRNA precursor is filed under the name Jatropha curcas. RNAcentral's name for it is "MIR390 microRNA precursor family". It matches the Rfam family "MIR390 microRNA precursor family". Lineage: Eukaryota; Viridiplantae; Streptophyta; Magnoliopsida; Malpighiales; Euphorbiaceae. The record is from Rfam by way of RNAcentral.
UGGAUGACUCUGUUAAGCUCAGGAGGGAUAGCGCCACCAAUGAUUAGUGAUAAUUAUUAUUUGUUUGUGAGUUAAUCUCACCAAAAAAAAAAAAAUUCUAAUCAUUAAUCUGUGGCGCUAUCCAUCGUGAGUUUCACAGGUUCUUCCU